This 391-nucleotide long non-coding RNA is filed under the name Elaeis guineensis (African oil palm). RNAcentral describes it as "long non-coding RNA (EGUI_LNC082281)". The record is from RNAcentral. Lineage: Eukaryota; Viridiplantae; Streptophyta; Magnoliopsida; Arecales; Arecaceae.
GCAGGAUUUGUCAUCCGGAGUCAUCAGGUCUUGCAUCAAAAUCAGAGUCCAUCUCAAAGCAAAAUAACCAAAUCAAGAUAUCAAUGGACCCCACAUCUUAUCCUUUUUGGCAUCAUCAGCCAGAAAAAAAACUAGAGGUGCAGGAAAUAAAUCAAGCAGUUAAUCUCUCCCAUCUAGUCAACCAAUCUAAAUUCUAGAUAUUUUGAUGUGAGAACCCCUAAAAGGUAAGCUACAUGACUCCAAAUUGAGCAAGAUUAGAUCCUACUGAAUUUUGAGUGAAGCAAGAAAGGAACAUAAUUUACAAAAUUGAAUUUAGAUUCCAGAUGAGGUGGCUACAAUAGGUUGAAGUUGGUAACAAUGUUGGACACAACAAGAAACACCCGAUACACCC